RNAcentral lists this small RNA (171 nucleotides) under Microcebus murinus (gray mouse lemur). Its description in RNAcentral is "TUC338 (ENSMICG00000033972.2)". The record is from RNAcentral. Lineage: Eukaryota; Metazoa; Chordata; Mammalia; Primates; Cheirogaleidae.
UUAAGAUAAGUAGCAGUGCUUUUUAAAUUCACAAAACAGAUUCUGUUAGACCAGAGGGAGUAUGUUCCCCCACAUGGCCAGAUCAGCUAGCCUCAUUGCUGACCUAAAGGGACAGCUCCUAGAUGAAGGUUGUAGCUAAAUUUUUUAUGGCCCGUUUAGUCCUUGGCCUCU